GCAUGAAGCUGGAAUCGCUAGUAAUCGCAGAUCAGAAUGCUGCGGUGAAUACGUUCCCGGGUCUUGUACACACCGCCCGUCACACCAUGGGAGUUGGAAAUGCCCGAAGUCAGUGACCGAACCGAAAGGAAGGAGCUGCCGAAGGUGGAGCCGAUGACUGGGGUGAAGUCGUAACAAGGUACC
This 183-nucleotide ribosomal RNA is filed under the name uncultured bacterium. RNAcentral describes it as "partial 16S ribosomal RNA". It matches the Rfam family "Bacterial small subunit ribosomal RNA", at positions 1318 to 1500 of the family's 1533-position model. The record is from RNAcentral.